UAAGGCUAUCGUAACUCAGAUAUUCAGAUACAGGAAUACUCGCCAGAGAACUACGAGCAAAACGCUUAAAACUCAAAGGACUUGGCGGUACCUCAAACCCCCCUAGAGGAGCCUGUUCUAUAAUCGAUAAUCCACGAUAUACCUCACCAUCUCUUGCCAAUCCCGCCUAUAUACCGCCUUUUUCAGCAAACACAGCAAAC
This 200-nucleotide ribosomal RNA is filed under the name Batagur kachuga (red-crowned roofed turtle). RNAcentral describes it as "partial 12S ribosomal RNA". Lineage: Eukaryota; Metazoa; Chordata; Testudines; Geoemydidae. The record is from RNAcentral.